AUGUUCUAUGUAUGUUGGGACACAGACUUGGUUAUGAACUGCUUCCACCACGAUGAUGUUCAGCAUAUCCUCCGCAUCCCUAUCUGUGACCAAGCGGAAGACUUUAUAGCCUGGCAUUUCGACAGUAAGGGGGUUUUUUCGGUCAAGUCGGCAUACAAAAUUCAUGUACAGAUGCAAAAAAGAGAGGCCAUAAGGCAACAGGGCCAUAGUUCCAUGGUUGCUAAUCAAAGCGCUGAGUUGUUCAGAGCACUGUGGAAAAUUCGUUGCCCGUCGCAUGUACAUCAUUUCCUCUGGAGGUUUGCUCACAACAGCCAUCCUAUGUAUGUGAACAUUAACAGACGGGGUGUAGAUUUAGACACCAGGUGCGCGGUCUGUGGAAUUUUUUUCGAAGAUGGAGGGCAUCUAUUCGUCAAGUGCAAAAUGGUUAAGCAGAGAUGGCGUGCCUUGUUACUUGAGGAUGUCAGACUUCGACUUGUCGAAUGCAACUCGGCCAAGGAAUGUCUAGCAUUUAUAUUCAGUCUGCCACAAGAGCGUUUGUUGCUGUCAGUAGCUCUUCUUUGGUGCUGGUGGACAGAACGCAACAAAGGCAACCAUGGUGAACAAAGAAUGGAGGUUGAGGCCUUUCAUUACACAGUGCAGCACCAUGCAAACGAAUGGAAAGAAUUCCUGGUGCCCAAGCCGAAGAGCACAGUAGUUCAACAGCAAACAUGGACGAAGCCUCCAAGUCAUAUGGUUAAGAUCAAUACCGACGCUACAUUUUCUGACCGGUCUGGAGCUGGGGGAUGGGGCCUUAUUUGCAGAGAUGAUGAGCAGGAUAUUCAGUUUGCAGCCGCUGGGGGUAAACAUGAUUUUGCUGAUGCCUUGCAUGCUGAAACUUUUUCCCUCGCUCAGGCUGUAGCGACGGCGGACCGUCUUGGUGUGGGUCAGGCAAUCUUUGAAACUGACUAUCUGGUGCUCAAGCAAGCUACUACAUCUAAUGCCUAUGAUCUUGCACCGUUGGGUGUCAUGUUUAGCGACAUUAGGUUCAAACUCCAAACUCUUUUCAUAGAGGCUCGUGUGGCGUAUGUGGCCAGAACCUGUAAUAGGCCGGGGCAUGUGCUGGCUAGUAAGGGUGCGGGACUAGCUGAUGGUGAACACAGAGAAUGGUUCACUAGCUAUUCUGAUGAUGUAAUCAGUGCGGUGACCGGCGAUCAGGCCAUGUCGUAA
RNAcentral lists this ribosomal RNA (1206 nucleotides) under Triticum aestivum (bread wheat). Its description in RNAcentral is "partial small subunit ribosomal RNA". Lineage: Eukaryota; Viridiplantae; Streptophyta; Magnoliopsida; Poales; Poaceae. The record is from RNAcentral.